Molecule: ribosomal RNA, 638 nt
Filed under: Paraclostridium bifermentans
Lineage: Bacteria; Bacillati; Bacillota; Clostridia; Peptostreptococcales; Peptostreptococcaceae
Description: bacterial SSU rRNA
Source: RNAcentral
UGGGUGGAAGUAAACGCGUGGGUAACCUGCCCUGUACACACGGAUAACAUACCGAAAGGUAUACUAAUACGGGAUAACAUACGAAAGUCGCAUGGCUUUUGUAUCAAAGCUCCGGCGGUACAGGAUGGACCCGCGUCUGAUUAGCUAGUUGGUAAGGUAAUGGCUUACCAAGGCAACGAUCAGUAGCCGACCUGAGAGGGUGAUCGGCCACACUGGAACUGAGACACGGUCCAGACUCCUACGGGAGGCAGCAGUGGGGAAUAUUGCACAAUGGGCGAAAGCCUGAUGCAGCAACGCCGCGUGAGCGAUGAAGGCCUUCGGGUCGUAAAGCUCUGUCCUCAAGGAAGAUAAUGACGGUACUUGAGGAGGAAGCCCCGGCUAACUACGUGCCAGCAGCCGCGGUAAUACRUAGGGGGCUAGCGUUAUCCGGAAUUACUGGGCGUAAAGGGGUGCGUAGGUGGUUUUUUAAGUCAGAAAGUGAAAAGGCUACGGGCUUCACCCGUAGUAAGCUGUUGAAAACUACAAAACUUGAUUGCAGGAGAGGAAAAGAAGAAGUUCUUAUUGGGACGGGUGAAUUGCGGUAGAUUUUAAGAGGAGACCCGAGAGAGAAAGCCGUCUCUCUUGGUCUGGAUUCGUUA